RNAcentral lists this unclassified non-coding RNA (342 nucleotides) under soil metagenome. Its description in RNAcentral is "partial contains 5.8S ribosomal RNA, internal transcribed spacer 2, and large subunit ribosomal RNA". The stretch from base 1 to 120 matches the Rfam family "5.8S ribosomal RNA", at positions 35 to 154 of the family's 154-position model. The record is from RNAcentral.
GAUGAAGAACGUAGCGAAAUGCGAUAAGUAAUGUGAAUUGCAGAAUUCAGUGAAUCAUCGAAUCUUUGAACGCACAUUGCGCCCGCCAGUAUUCUGGCGGGCAUGCCUGUUCGAGCGUCAUUUCAACCCUCAGGACCCUUUGGACCUGGUGUUGGGGCUCGGCCGCUACCCGCGGCCGUCCCCGAAAGAUAGUGGCGGUCUCGCUGUAGCGUCCUCUGCGUAGUAAUUACACCUCGCACUGGAACGCGGCGCGGCCACGCCGUUAAACACCCCACUUCUCAAGGUUGACCUCGGAUCAGGUAGGAAUACCCGCUGAACUUAAGCAUAUCAAUAAGCGGAGGA